RNAcentral lists this ribosomal RNA (406 nucleotides) under uncultured bacterium. Its description in RNAcentral is "bacterial SSU rRNA". It matches the Rfam family "Bacterial small subunit ribosomal RNA", at positions 32 to 417 of the family's 1533-position model. The record is from RNAcentral.
AAUCAACGCUGGCGGCGUGCCUAACACAUGCAAGUCGAGCGGGAAAGGGGGCUUCGGCCCCUGAGUAUAGCGGCGGACGGGUGAGUAACACGUGGGUAAUUUGCCCUUGGGUGUGGAAUAACUCAGGGAAACUUGAGCUAAUACCGCAUGACAUCCCCUUCACACACGAGUCGGGGAUCAAAGCCGGGGACCCUUCGGGGCCUGGCGCCUGAGGAGAAGCCCGCGCCCGAUUAGCUAGUGGUGAGGUAAUGGCUCACCAAGGCUUCGAUCGGUAGCCGGCCUGAGAGGGCGGACGGCCACACUGGGACUGAGACACGGCCCAGACUCCUACGGGAGGCAGCAGUGGGGAAUUUUUGUCAAUGGGGGAAACCCUGAACAAGCAACGCCGCGUGGAGGACGACGACCU